UUCAGGGUAUUUUAAGAAGCCAAUGUCUCAAUAUGAGUUUUGUAAAUUUAAGGUUGGUUC
This 60-nucleotide transfer RNA is filed under the name Sphaerirostris lanceoides. Its description in RNAcentral is "tRNA-Thr". Lineage: Eukaryota; Metazoa; Acanthocephala; Palaeacanthocephala; Polymorphida; Centrorhynchidae. The record is from RNAcentral.